This 1431-nucleotide ribosomal RNA is filed under the name uncultured organism. Its description in RNAcentral is "SSU rRNA". It matches the Rfam family "Bacterial small subunit ribosomal RNA". The record is from RNAcentral.
UUAACACAUGCAAGUCGAGGGGCAUCGGGUAGAAAGCUUGCUUUCUUUGCCGGCGACCGGCGCACGGGUGAGUAACACGUAUCCAACCUGCCCUUUACUCGGGGAUAGCCUUUCGAAAGAAAGAUUAAUACCCGAUAGUAUAAUGAUUCCGCAUGGUUUCAUUAUUAAAGGAUUCCGGUAAAGGAUGGGGAUGCGUUCCAUUAGGUUGUUGGUGAGGUAACGGCCCACCAAGCCUUCGAUGGAUAGGGGUUCUGAGAGGAAGGUCCCCCACAUUGGAACUGAGACACGGUCCAAACUCCUACGGGAGGCAGCAGUGAGGAAUAUUGGUCAAUGGGCGCUAGCCUGAACCAGCCAAGUAGCGUGAAGGAUGAAGGCUCUAUGGGUCGUAAACUUCUUUUAUAUAAGAAUAAAGUGCAGUAUGUAUACUGUUUUGUAUGUAUUAUAUGAAUAAGGAUCGGCUAACUCCGUGCCAGCAGCCGCGGUAAUACGGAGGAUCCGAGCGUUAUCCGGAUUUAUUGGGUUUAAAGGGAGCGUAGGUGGACUGGUAAGUCAGUUGUGAAAGUUUGCGGCUCAACCGUAAAAUUGCAGUUGAUACUGUCAGUCUUGAGUACAGUAGAGGUGGGCGGAAUUCGUGGUGUAGCGGUGAAAUGCUUAGAUAUCACGAAGAACUCCGAUUGCGAAGGCAGCUCACUGGACUGCAACUGACACUGAUGCUCGAAAGUGUGGGUAUCAAACAGGAUUAGAUACCCUGGUAGUCCACACAGUAAACGAUGAAUACUCGCUGUUUGCGAUAUACAGUAAGCGGCCAAGCGAAAGCAUUAAGUAUUCCACCUGGGGAGUACGCCGGCAACGGUGAAACUCAAAGGAAUUGACGGGGGCCCGCACAAGCGGAGGAACAUGUGGUUUAAUUCGAUGAUACGCGAGGAACCUUACCCGGGCUUAAAUUGCAGUGGAAUGAUGUGGAAACAUGUCAGUGAGCAAUCACCGCUGUGAAGGUGCUGCAUGGUUGUCGUCAGCUCGUGCCGUGAGGUGUCGGCUUAAGUGCCAUAACGAGCGCAACCCUUAUCUUCAGUUACUAACAGGUCAUGCUGAGGACCCUGGAGAGACUGCCGUCGUAAGAUGUGAGGAAGGUGGGGAUGACGUCAAAUCAGCACGGCCCUUACGUCCGGGGCUACACACGUGUUACAAUGGGGGGUACAGAAGGCAGCUAGCGGGUGACCGUAUGCUAAUCCCAAAAUCCUCUCUCAGUUCGGAUCGAAGUCUGCAACCCGACUUCGUGAAGCUGGAUUCGCUAGUAAUCGCGCAUCAGCCACGGCGCGGUGAAUACGUUCCCGGGCCUUGUACACACCGCCCGUCAAGCCAUGGGAGCCGGGGGUACCUGAAGUACGUAACACGCAAGGAUCGUCCUAGGGUAAAACUGGUGACUGGGGC